Molecule: ribosomal RNA, 119 nt
Organism: Pteropus vampyrus (large flying fox)
Lineage: Eukaryota; Metazoa; Chordata; Mammalia; Chiroptera; Pteropodidae
Source: Ensembl
GUCUAUGGCCAUACUCCCCUGAACAAGCUGGAUCCUGUCCUAUCUCGGAAGCUAAACAGGGUGGGGCCUGGUUAGUACUUGGAUGGGAGACCACCUAGGAAGACCAGGUGCAGUAGGCA